This 1448-nucleotide long non-coding RNA is filed under the name Monodelphis domestica (gray short-tailed opossum). RNAcentral's name for it is "lncRNA (ENSMODG00000044447.1)". The record is from RNAcentral. Lineage: Eukaryota; Metazoa; Chordata; Mammalia; Didelphimorphia; Didelphidae.
UAUGGUAGUUUAUUUUAGUUUAUUUUGCAAUAGAGGGAAGAUAUUAAGGAAGAGGGAAAAGGGGGAGAGAGAGAGAGAGAGAUAGAGAGAGAGAGAGAGAGACAGAGAGAGAGAGAGACAGAGACAGAGACAGAGACAGAGACAGAGACAGAGACAGAGAGAGAGAGCACAAGUGAGUUCCGGCUUCCUCUGAUACAGGUAGCAAUUCUAAGGCCCUAGCCAUGGGAAAGGAGUUUCAAGACUGACUAUGGGCCUUUCCCAGAGGCUCAUGCUUCCAGAAAGGGCAAGGAAGUCAGACUUUACACUUACCACAGUGACCAUCUAAAAGGAAAGCAGUCUGAGGUCUCCUGCAAGAGCUCCUCCAGGGUUGUGUUCCACAGCCAAGUGUCCCUCUUCACUCCAAGUCCCAGUGUCCCUUCUCAAGUGUGUCUCUGUUUCCACUUUUAAAGACCUUUUCCUCUUGUGUUACUUCCCCUAAAUUUUAGGUCUACCAAUCACAGCUGAUGCUCCACUCCAGGACUGCCCACUCUUUCACAGAUUUACAUAAAUGGAGGUCCCACCAAGAUUCAAAGUUCUGGAUGCCUAAACCCCCUACCAGUAGACUCCAGACAUGAGACUUCCAUAGGAACUCAUUGAGUUCCAAUAUGGACUCUACAUAGCAGGUGAACUGGAGCCUCCCAAAUGUCAUUAUCUGUGUUUACAUCCCAGGAAAGUAGACUGCCAAGGUGGGAAACUGAGGUCAUCGGCACUGAAGUGGCUUAUCCUGUGUUCCGCUCCCAUUUCAAAACGUGGAGAAGGAGCCCCGCUGGGGAGAAGACCCGAGUCCCAGUUGCUAACCCUCCCCCGAUGUGCCCCCCACCCCCUGACUCCAAACAGGAGCACCUCCCGAGGAAGAGAGAAAGCCUCCCAGACAGAAGAGAGCUUCCAGCCCACUAGGCUGGCAGAUUAAAAACAUAUAGGAUGGCACAAUCAAAGGUAUCGAGUUUCUCUAUCUUGUCCUGCUAUUGUGCAUUGGGACACACGCUGCUAGGAGACAAAGAGGACACACGUUUAUUUUCAAGCCUAGGACUUUGGAACCACUUGGGAAGAAUAUUCUUGAUUGAGAACCAAAACAUUCCAUGAUGCUUAACAAACCUGCAAAUUGAAAAAUCAACAUCGGCCCCGUGCAGCAAGGGAGCCGGAGAAGGACCUAUAGCCUGAAAAAUUCAAAAUAUUCCUUAAAUGAUAUUUGUGUGCAUUUGCAAAAUUACUACUCUCUGAAUCAAAAGUCUCAAGCUGUUUUUAUCUGAGAACAUAUGUUGUGCCGUUAGACAAUAUCUCAGCCUGUAGCCGUCCAUGAAAAAACCCCGCCGCAUAGCAUAAUGGACAGUCCCGCGAAGAAGGCGCCGCAUCUCAGUCAAUGCCCCUGUAAUAAUAUUUUAAAAUAAAUGAUAUGCAUCAUUAAAUCA